Molecule: long non-coding RNA, 599 nt
Organism: Mirounga angustirostris (Northern elephant seal)
Lineage: Eukaryota; Metazoa; Chordata; Mammalia; Carnivora; Phocidae
Exons: 3
Source: RefSeq, a predicted model, not a curated record
CACUUUCCUAUUGGCCGCUGGGGUCUCUGGGACUCCCCUGGAGGGAGCCCCGGGGAAUCAGAGUAUUCGGCGCCGGGUCCUGGGAUAGCGCUGCGGUCCCCGGGGCAUCCUUUGUCCACGACCCCUAAAAUUGGACCACAGCCGUAGGGUGGGGCUCAGCUCUGGGCGGGCCUGGAGAAGAAGAGAGGCUGGCAGCCGGGCUGUGGGGUGUGACCAGGAUCCCAGAGCGAAAUCCUGGGUCUCCACCUGAUCACUCGCCCACCCUGGAGUCGAACCUGGGAGCAGGACCGAAGAAGGGGAGGAGCGGAGCAGGAUGUCCCCGGGGCUGCAGGUGCCCGGGAGCAGAGCGCCGCGGGAGUGCUGGGCGCUGGAGUGAAAGUGGGGCGCGGAGGGCAUCGAGCAUUAGACGUCGGGAAGCGCUUCCCACCUCUGGGAAUGUAGACACGGCGGCGGAACCAAGCAGGGAAAACCAAGCCCUAACUGGGCCCAUGUCAGCUCCAGCCCACCACUGACCGUCCUUCAGACGCAGGGGCAGACCAGCCCCCAGCUCGGCCUCACUGCAGAAGUAGCCGCUACCUCGGGAGUCCCAGAAAAGCCUG